This 68-nucleotide transfer RNA is filed under the name Laeops kitaharae. RNAcentral describes it as "tRNA-Phe". It matches the Rfam family "tRNA". Rfam says of the family: Transfer RNA (tRNA) molecules are approximately 80 nucleotides in length. Their secondary structure includes four short double-helical elements and three loops (D, anti-codon, and T loops). RNAcentral also lists the same sequence under 1 other name. Lineage: Eukaryota; Metazoa; Chordata; Actinopteri; Pleuronectiformes; Bothidae. The record is from RNAcentral.
GCCACUGUAGCUUAAAGAAAGCAUGACACUGAAGAUGUUAGGAUGGACUGUCGAAAGUCUCGGAAGCA